This 544-nucleotide ribosomal RNA is filed under the name uncultured bacterium. RNAcentral describes it as "bacterial SSU rRNA". It matches the Rfam family "Bacterial small subunit ribosomal RNA", at positions 358 to 916 of the family's 1533-position model. The record is from RNAcentral.
GGAAUCUUGCGCAAUGGGCGGAAGCCUGACGCAGCAACGCCGCGUGCGGGAUGAAGGCCUUCGGGCUGUAAACCGCUUUCAGCAGGAACGAAAAUGACGGUACCUGCAGAAGAAGGAGCGGCCAACUACGUGCCAGCAGCCGCGGUGACACGUAGGCUCCAAGCGUUGUCCGGAUUUAUUGGGCGUAAAGAGCUCGUAGGCGGUUGAGUAAGUCGGGUGUGAAAACUCUGGGCUUAACCCGGAGACGCCAUCCGAUACUGCUCUGACUAGAGUUCAGGAGGGGAGUGGGGAAUUCCUAGUGUAGCGGUGAAAUGCGCAGAUAUUAGGAGGAACACCGGUGGCGAAGGCGCCACUCUGGACUGAAACUGACGCUGAGGAGCGAAAGCAUGGGUAGCAAACAGGAUUAGAUACCCUGGUAGUCCAUGCCGUAAACGGUGGGCACUAGGUGUGGGUUCCAACUAACGGGAUCCGCGCCGUCGCUAACGCAUUAAGUGCCCCGCCUGGGGAGUACGGUCGCAAGACUAAAACUCAAAGGAAUUGACGG